This 206-nucleotide microRNA precursor is filed under the name Oryza barthii. RNAcentral describes it as "MIR812 microRNA precursor family". It matches the Rfam family "MIR812 microRNA precursor family". The record is from Rfam by way of RNAcentral. Lineage: Eukaryota; Viridiplantae; Streptophyta; Magnoliopsida; Poales; Poaceae.
AAAAAAACAAACCCUGGGUUUCCGUGUCCAACGUUUGACCGUCUGUCUUAUUUGAAAAAAUUAUGGAAAAAAUUUAAAAGACAAGUCACGCAUAAAGUAUUAAUCAUGUUUUAUCAUCUAACAACAAUAAAAAUACUAAUUAUAAAAAAAUUCAUAUAAGACGGACAGUCAAAUAUUAGACACGAAAACCCAUGGUUUGUCUUUUU